This 253-nucleotide ribosomal RNA is filed under the name uncultured bacterium. Its description in RNAcentral is "partial 16S ribosomal RNA". It matches the Rfam family "Bacterial small subunit ribosomal RNA", at positions 524 to 776 of the family's 1533-position model. The record is from RNAcentral.
UACGAAGGGGGCAAGCGUUGUUCGGAAUUACUGGGCGUAAAGGGCGCGUAGGCGGCUUAUCAAGUCAGGCGUGAAAUUCCCGGGCUCAACCUGGGGGCUGCGCUUGAUACUGAUGAGCUUGAAUGCGGGAGAGGAUAGUGGAAUUCCCAGUGUAGAGGUGAAAUUCGUAGAUAUUGGGAAGAACACCGGUGGCGAAGGCGGCUAUCUGGCCCGUGAUUGACGCUGAGCCGCUCAAGCGUGGGGAGCAAACAUG